AUUGAACGCUGGCGGCAUGCCUUACACAUGCAAGUCGAACGGCAGCACGGGUGCUUGCACCUGGUGGCGAGUGGCGAACGGGUGAGUAAUACAUCGGAACAUGUCCUGUAGUGGGGGAUAGCCCGGCGAAAGCCGGAUUAAUACCGCAUACGAUCUACGGAUGAAAGCGGGGGACCUUCGGGCCUCGCGCUAUAGGGUUGGCCGAUGGCUGAUUAGCUAGUUGGUGGGGUAAAGGCCUACCAAGGCGACGAUCAGUAGCUGGUCUGAGAGGACGACCAGCCACACUGGGACUGAGACACGGCCCAGACUCCUACGGGAAGCAGCAGUGGGGAAUUUUGGACAAUGGGCGAAAGCCUGAUCCAGCAAUGCCGCGUGUGUGAAGAAGGCCUUCGGGUUGUAAAGCACUUUUGUCCGGAAAGAAAUCCUUGGCUCUAAUACAGUCGGGGGAUGACGGUACCGGAAGAAUAAGCACCGGCUAACUACGUG
RNAcentral lists this ribosomal RNA (486 nucleotides) under uncultured bacterium. Its description in RNAcentral is "partial 16S ribosomal RNA". It matches the Rfam family "Bacterial small subunit ribosomal RNA", at positions 30 to 507 of the family's 1533-position model. The record is from RNAcentral.